AAUUUGAAUAGAACGAGCUUCCUUGCAUUUAAAGCCAAGAUGGUGUAAGUGAUCCGUAACUAAUCUUCCCUUCGUAGCUGUAAGUGGAAUGCCCUCAAACUCUUCCUGAAAUAGGGACUCGAAAUCUAAUAGGUGAAGGACAACUGUUAGGAGAGAUCCUGGCAGAAGAUGCCAACUUGGGCAUUGAAAGUCACUAGUAUUCUCCGCAACAAGUCUUAUUCCUAUUGCUUUUAGUACCAUGUAACACCAUUGAUAGCCAUUUCUGAUCUAUCUAUCUAUUUGAGAACAAAUCCUAUGACUUCAUUCUCCUUUGAGUUCCGAUCUGACAUUCAUUUAGAAAGCAAAGAACUUAUUAAUCUAUAUAUGUAUAAUUAGAAAUCUCGGAUUGGAUUUGAACCAAUGCUCAUCAACGGAUCACGACGUGAACUGUCAACCGCUCUACCACCGAGCUACCGAGAAGAGAGGGAGGGACUGAUUGAUACAUGGAAGCCUAUAAGGUCAGUCCGCUCAUAAGAACAGUAUGACUAUCUUAGUCUCAUCAUGUGCCCUUAUUAAAGAAACCUAUCGAUUGAAGAUGUCAUUCAGGGACCCCUCGUUAUGGAUAGGUCUGGAAGAGCAUGGGAAAGAAGGAUCAUCUUGUUGCUUUAGUCAACCGUGAUUCGAUUAUGUUUUACAGCUAUUCAUUUGAUUGACUCUGUUCCGAAGGCGACUCUCUGCCUCAGGAAUCACUCUCAGGCUUGGGCCAUAUCUAAAUGAUAGACAACGAUUCCCUAAUGAGACGAAUUGACCGCAUUCAAGAAUAAAACUCAGGACGAAGGCUUAGAAAAUGAGUCUUUUGGGAGGACGAGAAGGGAAGCUCAGGUGGAGUGCUAGACUAGAAGGUAGAAAGCAAGGGGCGAUGAAGUCUUUGAUUCGGAUUGGUCAACAUUCCUUUCUUGUCUUGAAUCAGUCUAUGAGACCUUCUUUUGACUCUUCUCAAGGCAACAAAGACCGAGAGGAGCAAGAGGGAAGGUAUCAGGUCAGCGGGUAGAGACAAGAAAGAACCUAAUAGUUGGCGGGUUGGGCUCUACCUUCCUUGUAGUGAGUUUCUUAGGAAAGAUGUAAUAUGAGCAGAGAAUUUCCUUCUAUCCAGAGAUUGAAAGCAAUAAGAGCAGUAGGUCCAACGGAGUCUUUUGGGGCCCCGAAGGAGAGCUGGCAAUGGGCUCUUGCCUUACUUAACUUAAUGCGAGGUGCGAGUACAACCAUUUCCUAAAAUGGGGAUUCCAAGUAGUGUUGUUUUUGUUAUAUUAUAGUAGUUAGCAUGGGCACAUAAGGGGAAGCUAGCACUACAUUUGAUAUUCCUUGGUCUCUUUAGUAUUCAUGGCUCUAAAGGGGCUUUAGGUCCAACAGAGAGAAGACCUUUUUAGAGGCUCUUCAAGGCUUGGGCAGCAGAAACAAGGGCAUGUUCUUGUUGGGUGGAUUGAAUAUGCUACUACGGUCGUGCAACAGAAGUGAGCCUCGGAGAAUUAGUUAAUGCGACAUCUGACCUGCAAGACCUGCAAAUGGAACAUGGAUCCCUCGAUCCCUCCGACCUGCAAAUAGAGUAUGUUUGCCAAUAUGUAGGUUCAGCAAUCAAUGAGUGACUAAGACUUGAACCUAGGGGCGGUUCAGUUGAUAGAAUGAGUUCCC
RNAcentral lists this long non-coding RNA (1668 nucleotides) under Amborella trichopoda. RNAcentral describes it as "long non-coding RNA (ATRI_LNC005342)". Lineage: Eukaryota; Viridiplantae; Streptophyta; Magnoliopsida; Amborellales; Amborellaceae. The record is from RNAcentral.